Molecule: transfer RNA, 68 nt
Filed under: Murina cyclotis (Round-eared tube-nosed bat)
Lineage: Eukaryota; Metazoa; Chordata; Mammalia; Chiroptera; Vespertilionidae
Description: tRNA-Gly
Rfam family: tRNA
About the family: Transfer RNA (tRNA) molecules are approximately 80 nucleotides in length.
Source: RNAcentral
GUUCUUUUAGUAUCACUUAGUACAACUGACUUCCAAUCAGUUAGCCUUGGGUUAACCAAGAAAGAAUA